This is a non-coding RNA of Arachis ipaensis, 774 nucleotides long. Lineage: Eukaryota; Viridiplantae; Streptophyta; Magnoliopsida; Fabales; Fabaceae. The record is from RefSeq and is a predicted model, not a curated record.
AGCGGGGAUAACAACAGGCUGCGUGCGCACAUUAGGUUGAUGGAUCAGACGAGGAAGAAUAGCAAGGUUAUGGCUUCAUGUUGUUUGGUCUUUGGGUAGCAAUCAUGUUUUCGUCAGGCAUGAGGGAGACGUUAUGCAAUUUGAAGUGACCAAAUUUCACACACGGGAGAGACAUUUUGCGCAACAUGAAAAAGGGGAUUUUGUUGGAGAGUUGGUUGAUGAAAGAAGUUCUCCAUUGAUCAGAGAAUGUUGAAUAUAUAAAAGAAAUGUAUGUAUGCUGCAAAUGGAUCAACCGGGUUGUACUGAAUUUAUAUGGUAUUUAGACUUUGAUUCAAGGAAGAAAUACAGUCUCAAUCAGAUGCAUGAAUGUGAAGAAUCUAACCAGCAUUCAAGUGCACUAGUAUUUUUACUUGGACAAUUCUUGUCCAGCUGCCAUUCCUUUUCCUCAUCUCCAUUUCAUCAAGUCUAGUUUUCUACUUCCUAGUAGGGCUAAGAGAUGAAUUCAACUUCUUAAUGUACUUUGUGCUCAACAUUUUCAUGUCUCUUUUAGCAAGUGAAUCACUUAUGUUUCUCAUGGAAGUUGUUUAUCGUUUUCUUGUGUUCAUUUUAUUAUGCAGAAAAUCAUCUCUGCUUAUUAGUUGUAGGUGUCAAAGAGUAUGUACAGAAUUUAGUAGUUGAUUUGGCUUACUUGCAUAGUUGCAUUGUACAAUUAAAUUCUUUUUGAUCUAUUUUGCAUUUCCUAUAUCAGUUUUGAGUUUAUCAUGAAUUUUUGUA